GAUAAACGCUGGCGGCGUGCAUGAGACAUGCAAGUCAUACGGGCGAGCUUGCUCGCUAGUGGCGGACGGCUGAGUAACGCGUAGGUGACCUGCCCCGAAGUGGGAAUAACUGCCCGAAAGGGUGGCUAAUACCGCAUGUGGUGGUUCGUUCGAUCGUUCCACCAAAGCAGCAAUGCGCUUCGGGAGGGGCCUGCGUCCGAUUAGCUCGUUGGUGGGGAACGGCUCACCAAGGCGACGAUCGGUAGGUGGUCUGAGAGGACGAUCACCCAGACUGGGACUGAGACACGGCCCAGACUCCUACGGGAGGCAGCAGUCGGAAUUUUGCGCAAUGGACGAAAGUCUGACGCAGCAACGCCGCGUGAGGGAUGAAGGCC
Molecule: ribosomal RNA, 374 nt
Filed under: uncultured bacterium
Lineage: Bacteria
Description: bacterial SSU rRNA
Rfam family: Bacterial small subunit ribosomal RNA
Source: RNAcentral